GACGCUGGCGGCGUGCCUAAUACAUGCAAGUCGAACGCUUCUUUUUCCACCGGAGCUUGCUCCACCGGAAAAAGAGGAGUGGCGAACGGGUGAGUAACACGUGGGUAACCUGCCCAUCAGAAGGGGAUAACACUUGGAAACAGGUGCUAAUACCGUAUAACAAUCGAAACCGCAUGGUUUUGAUUUGAAAGGCGCUUUCGGGUGUCGCUGAUGGAUGGACCCGCGGUGCAUUAGCUAGUUGGUGAGGUAACGGCUCACCAAGGCCACGAUGCAUAGCCGACCUGAGAGGGUGAUCGGCCACAUUGGGACUGAGACACGGCCCAAACUCCUACGGGAGGCAGCAGUAGGGAAUCUUCGGCAAUGGACGAAAGUCUGACCGAGCAACGCCGCGUGAGUGAAGAAGGUUUUCGGAUCGUAAAACUCUGUUGUUAGAGAAGAACAAGGAUGAGAGUAACUGUUCAUCCCUUGACGGUAUCUAACCAGAAAGCCACGGCUAACUACGUGCCAGCAGCCGCGGUAAUACGUAGGUGGCAAGCGUUGUCCGGAUUUAUUGGGGCGUAAAAGCGAGCGCAGGCGGUUUCCUUAAGUCUGAUGUGAAAGCCCCCGGCUCAACCGGGGA
This 619-nucleotide ribosomal RNA is filed under the name uncultured Enterococcus sp. RNAcentral describes it as "bacterial SSU rRNA". It matches the Rfam family "Bacterial small subunit ribosomal RNA", at positions 32 to 619 of the family's 1533-position model. Lineage: Bacteria; Bacillati; Bacillota; Bacilli; Lactobacillales; Enterococcaceae. The record is from RNAcentral.